RNAcentral lists this transfer RNA (94 nucleotides) under Nostoc sp. FACHB-145. RNAcentral's name for it is "tRNA-Ala". It matches the Rfam family "tRNA". Rfam says of the family: Transfer RNA (tRNA) molecules are approximately 80 nucleotides in length. Their secondary structure includes four short double-helical elements and three loops (D, anti-codon, and T loops). Lineage: Bacteria; Bacillati; Cyanobacteriota; Cyanophyceae; Nostocales; Nostocaceae. RNAcentral also lists the same sequence under 1 other name. The record is from RNAcentral.
GGGGUCAUAGCUCAAGUGGCGCUUUGCGCCUGUCUUGCACACAGGAGGUUAGGGGUACCCUUCGGGAAGCAAGCUACAAAUCCCCUUGAUUCCA